Molecule: non-coding RNA, 1135 nt
Organism: Misgurnus anguillicaudatus (oriental weatherfish)
Lineage: Eukaryota; Metazoa; Chordata; Actinopteri; Cypriniformes; Cobitidae
Source: RefSeq, a predicted model, not a curated record
GAGUGGACGUUUUACUGAAGCAGUCACAACGACGACAGCACUAGCUGGGCCGCAUUAUCCAUCGCCAGAUCUGACUGAAGUGAAGUAAAGGAAGACGGGAGUCCUUUUUGUGCACUGAGCGUGGUGGGUGAGUCUUUGUGCUGUGAAAACCUUUAAGUUUGACGUGGUGUUGUAUAUUGCUGUGGGUUGCUGUGGAUUGCUGUAUGUCUUGUCUGACAGACCCCCGCCUUCACGCAAUUCGCUAAGGGAAGACCAAGAGGCUGCUGGCCUUAGCUUGACUCAACCCUGCAUAUGUUGUGAGCGUGUUUCAGAUCUCAGAAAGUAGCACGGUGCCCCGGGACGAUCCUUUCCCGCCUAGACAUUUGGUGGGUGGUGCGAGCGACAACGAAGAGCUGGAGAAGCAGCAUUGUGAGUACGAUUUGCGGCUAUUACCAUUCAAUACUGUAAACUGUGCGAGUCUUAUUGUUGCAGAGAGCGAGGUGAAGUGAUUCUCAUCGUCCCGUGGCCUCUACAAAGGGGCGCCCCGGUCCAGAGUUCGAACGUCUGACGGCAGCGAGAAAAGGGAAGCGCUCGGCCCGGUGAGACGUUGAGUUAUUCCACCCCCCUGCCACCGCACAGCCGUCGAGAGGGUUCGCCCCCGACGCCACGUAGGGACGACUUACUCCAUCAGACGUUUCGCCCAAGCGGAUACCUGUGGAGGAAAGAACAGAGAGAGUGAAUAACCUGAGGAGAGAUCGAAGAAACCUGUACUUACGGUACGCUGUGUCCAGCAGAGAGGUGAGAGCCAUUCAAAGCCAAUUAACUGUGCUUCUGUGUCCAAGUUGAUACCUGUGAAGGAAAGAACAGAGAAAGUGAAUAACCUGAGGAGAGAUCGAAGAAACCUGUACUUACGGUACGCUGUGUCCAGCAGAGAGGAGGACAAAGGAGCGCGCCACGGAUACUCCAGACCAGGUUGGAGCCUGAGUCCCACGCCCCCCUGGUCCCUAGUGUCCUGGACAUCCCGUUGCCCCCUUGUUCCCUGUCCGUGGCCCACCUGGAGGGCAGAGACAGAUAUUAGUUUUAAUUUCCCCCCUCCCCAUUUCCCAAGAACAUUUUAAAUAUUUAAUGAACAAAUAAAAGAUUGUUUUUAUACUUA